GGAGGGGUAGCGAAGUGGCUAAACGCGGUGGACUGUAAAUCCGCUCCUUCGGGUUCGGCAGUUCGAAUCUGCCCCCCUCCA
This 81-nucleotide transfer RNA is filed under the name Staphylococcus aureus. Its description in RNAcentral is "tRNA-Tyr". It matches the Rfam family "tRNA". From Rfam's summary of the family: Transfer RNA (tRNA) molecules are approximately 80 nucleotides in length. Their secondary structure includes four short double-helical elements and three loops (D, anti-codon, and T loops). The record is from RNAcentral. Lineage: Bacteria; Bacillati; Bacillota; Bacilli; Caryophanales; Staphylococcaceae.